AUACAUGCAGUAGAACGCUGAAGAGAGGAGCUUGCUCUUCUUGGAUGAGUUGCGAACGGGUGAGUAACGCGUAGGUAACCUGCCUUGUAGCGGGGGAUAACUAUUGGAAACGAUAGCUAAUACCGCAUAACAAUGGAUGACACAUGUCAUUUAUUUGAAAGGGGCAAUUGCUCCACUACAAGAUGGACCUGCGUUGUAUUAGCUAGUAGGUGAGGUAACGGCUCACCUAGGCGACGAUACAUAGCCGACCUGAGAGGGUGAUCGGCCACACUGGGACUGAGACACGGCCCAGACUCCUACGGGAGGCAGCAGUAGGGAAUCUUCGGCAAUGGGGGCAACCCUGACCGAGCAACGCCGCGUGAGUGAAGAAGGUUUUCGGAUCGUAAAGCUCUGUUGUAAGUCAAGAACGAGUGUGAGAGUGGAAAGUUCACACUGUGACGGUAGCUUACCAGAAAGGGACGGCUAACUACGUGCCAGCAGCCGCGGUAAUACGUAGGUCCCGAGCGUUGUCCGGAUUUAUUGGGCGUAAAGCGAGCGCAGGCGGUUUGAUAAGUCUGAAGUUAAAGGCUGUGGCUCAACCAUAGUUCGCUUUGGAAACUGUCAAACUUGAGUGCAGAAGGGGAGAGUGGAAUUCCAUGUGUAGCGGUGAAAUGCGUAGAUAUAUGGAGGAACACCGGUGGCGAAAGCGGCUCUCUGGUCUGUAACUGACGCUGAGGCUCGAAAGCGUGGGGAGCGAACAGGAUUAGAUACCCUGGUAGUCCACGCCGUAAACGAUGAGUGCUAGGUGUUGGAUCCUUUCCGGGAUUCAGUGCCGCAGCUAACGCAUUAAGCACUCCGCCUGGGGAGUACGACCGCAAGGUUGAAACUCAAAGGAAUUGACGGGGGCCCGCACAAGCGGUGGAGCAUGUGGUUUAAUUCGAAGCAACGCGAAGAACCUUACCAGGUCUUGACAUCCCGAUGCUAUUUCUAGAGAUAGAAAGUUACUUCGGUACAUCGGUGACAGGUGGUGCAUGGUUGUCGUCAGCUCGUGUCGUGAGAUGUUGGGUUAAGUCCCGCAACGAGCGCAACCCCUAUUGUUAGUUGCCAUCAUUCAGUUGGGCACUCUAGCGAGACUGCCGGUAAUAAACCGGAGGAAGGUGGGGAUGACGUCAAAUCAUCAUGCCCCUUAUGACCUGGGCUACACACGUGCUACAAUGGUUGGUACAACGAGUUGCGAGUCGGUGACGGCAAGCUAAUCUCUUAAAGCCAAUCUCAGUUCGGAUUGUAGGCUGCAACUCGCCUACAUGAAGUCGGAAUCGCUAGUAAUCGCGGAUCAGCACGCCGCGGUGAAUACGUUCCCGGGCCUUGUACACACCGCCCGUCACACCACGAGAGUUUGUAACACCCGAAGUCGGUGAGGUAACCUUUUGGAGCCAGCCGCCUAAG
RNAcentral lists this ribosomal RNA (1425 nucleotides) under Streptococcus salivarius. RNAcentral's name for it is "bacterial SSU rRNA". It matches the Rfam family "Bacterial small subunit ribosomal RNA". Lineage: Bacteria; Bacillati; Bacillota; Bacilli; Lactobacillales; Streptococcaceae. The record is from RNAcentral.